Molecule: unclassified non-coding RNA, 211 nt
Filed under: plant metagenome
Description: partial contains small subunit ribosomal RNA, internal transcribed spacer 1, and 5.8S ribosomal RNA
Source: RNAcentral
UUUCCGUAGGUGAACCUGCGGAAGGAUCAUUCAUAAUAAAGUGUUUUAUGGCACUUUUUAAAAAUCCAUAUCCACCUUGUGUGCAAUGUUGGAUCUCGUCAAUCUUGGCGAGAUUUUUAUACAUCAACUCAUUCUUUAACUAAUUAGUCUGAAAAAUAUUAUGAAUACUUAAUUCAAAAUACAACUUUCAACAACGGAUCUCUUGGCUCUC